GACGAACGCUGGCGGCAUGCCUAACACAUGCAAGUCGAACGAAACCUUCGGGUCUAGUGGCGCACGGGGGCGUACCGCGUGGGAACCUACCCGUAGGUUCGGAAUACCUCCCCGAGAGGGGUGCUAAUGACGGAUAGUCUCUUAGCGCCAAGGAUUUAUCGCCUUUGGAUGGGCGCGCGUUGGAUUCGCUGGUUGGUAGUGUACAAGCCUACUAUGGAGUCGUUCCAUAGCUGGUCGGAGAGGAUGAUCAGCCAGGCUGGGACUGAGGCACGGACCAGAAUCCGACGGAAGGCUGGAGUGGAGUAUAUUGUACAAGGGGCGAUAGUCUGACCAAGCAACGCCGGGGGAGUGAUGAAGGCCGUAGGGUUGUAAAGCUCUUUUACACGGGAUGAUAAUGACAGUACCGGGAGAAUAAGCACCGGCUAACUCCGUG
This 433-nucleotide ribosomal RNA is filed under the name uncultured bacterium. Its description in RNAcentral is "partial 16S ribosomal RNA". It matches the Rfam family "Bacterial small subunit ribosomal RNA", at positions 28 to 507 of the family's 1533-position model. The record is from RNAcentral.